UUCUAAUAAAUUUCAUAUUAAAAAUAAAUUGUAUACAAAAAAUGCCAACAUUUUUCAAACAAUUUUGAAAAAAAACGCAAAAAUUUCAAUUUAAUUUUUCAAUUAAAGCAAAUGAAAAUGUUCCAAAUUAUUUGAAUCAAUCAACAUAUAAUCAAGAUACAAGAAACAAAAUUAUAUGUAUUUCAAUCCAUACAUUUCAAGAAACUCACCAAAUCAUCCUUUAUUUUCAGCCAUGGUAUAGUUGGCGGAUAGUAUUUUAAAGCCUCCGGCCUGGAACAUUGUCCCAACAGAACGCCAAUUUUGAUAAAAUAAUUUAAUCAUUUGAACGUGUUAUUGAACGCUAUAACCGUCCAUGGCGAUUUGACAAAUCAAACUGAAUAAAUGACAGUCAAUUCGCCGCAUAAAUCAUCAACAAUGUGGCCGCUAUUAACUGCCAAAGUUCGGAGGUCUCUUUUGGAGGAGCCUUUAUAAAGAAUUUCUAUUCAAGCUAAAAUUUAACUGAAUAGAGAGGCUAAAUUGAGAUUCAAUAGAGACUUGCAAUUGAAACAAUAUUUAUGAUUUUAUUUCCAUUUAUACUUGUGGUACCUUUGUGUGCCUGUCUGUCUGUCCCUCAACAUGACUGUUUCAAAAAUUAAUAAAAUAAACAUUGAUUUUUGG
Molecule: long non-coding RNA, 657 nt
Organism: Calliphora vicina (urban bluebottle blowfly)
Lineage: Eukaryota; Metazoa; Arthropoda; Insecta; Diptera; Calliphoridae
Exons: 3
Source: RefSeq, a predicted model, not a curated record